Molecule: ribosomal RNA, 384 nt
Filed under: uncultured bacterium
Lineage: Bacteria
Description: bacterial SSU rRNA
Rfam family: Bacterial small subunit ribosomal RNA
Source: RNAcentral
AUUGAACGCUGGCGGCAUGCUUUACACAUGCAAGUCGAACGGUAGACCCUUUCGGGGGUUGAGAGUGGCGAACGGGUGAGUAAUGCAUCGGAGCGUGCCUAGUCGUGGGGGAUAACGUAGCGAAAGUUACGCUAAUACCGCAUACGCACUGAGGUGGAAAGCGGGGGACCGUAAGGCCUCGCGCGAUUGGAGCGGCCGAUGUCGGAUUAGCUAGUUGGUGAGGUAAAGGCUCACCAAGGCGACGAUCCGUAGCGGGUCUGAGAGGAUGAUCCGCCACACUGGGACUGAGACACGGCCCAGACUCCUACGGGAGGCAGCAGUGGGGAAUUUUGGACAAUGGGCGCAAGCCUGAUCCAGCCAUGCCGCGUGCGGGAAGAAGGCCUC